Streptococcus sp. is the source of this 116-nucleotide ribosomal RNA. Lineage: Bacteria; Bacillati; Bacillota; Bacilli; Lactobacillales; Streptococcaceae. The record is from Rfam.
UUUGGUGCCAAUAGCAUGAGAGAUACACCUGGUUACAUGCCGAACCCAGAAGUUAAGUCUCAUAACGCCGGAAGUAGUUGGGGGUUGCCCCCUGUGAGAUAUGGUAGGUGCCAAGC